RNAcentral lists this small nucleolar RNA (103 nucleotides) under Salix viminalis (osier). Its description in RNAcentral is "Plant small nucleolar RNA R71". It matches the Rfam family "Plant small nucleolar RNA R71". From Rfam's summary of the family: R71 is a member of the C/D box family of snoRNAs containing the C (UGAUGA) and D (CUGA) box motifs. Multiple nearly identical copies of this snoRNA have been identified in Arabidopsis, and it is thought to function as a 2'-O-ribose methylation guide for 18S ribosomal RNA. RNAcentral also lists the same sequence under 2 other names. The record is from Rfam by way of RNAcentral. Lineage: Eukaryota; Viridiplantae; Streptophyta; Magnoliopsida; Malpighiales; Salicaceae.
AGUCCAUGGUGAGGGCAUCGCCUAUGCAAAUCCUUGUAUCUCUCCCAUGCCUCAUAUAGUGGUCACUCUCAAGUUGGGCAAUAUUAGAGAUUUCAAUACGCAU